Nanorana parkeri is the source of this 125-nucleotide long non-coding RNA. RefSeq lists it as uncharacterized. The transcript is spliced from 3 exons. NCBI's taxonomy places the organism in Eukaryota, Metazoa, Chordata, Amphibia, Anura, Dicroglossidae. The record is from RefSeq and is a predicted model, not a curated record.
CACAUCCUCUGAGGCAGCAGCGCUCUCAUUGGUUGGCCCUUGGGGGUCUACAGCACUUGUGUGGAUUUGAACUUGGGUCUAUGGCGCCCUGGGUCAACGCUCUUAUCCACUGAGCUACUCGCCUC